UCUUAUCCAGAAAAGCUGAGGGAUCAGGCCCGAAGACGCUUUGGCAACCGUCUCGCAUUUAAUAUUGCGGGGAAAAGGUGCCACUUCCUGCUCCGGUUAUCCGGGGAAAGAUGAGA
RNAcentral lists this non-coding RNA (116 nucleotides) under uncultured Fodinibius sp. RNAcentral's name for it is "SAM riboswitch (S box leader)". It matches the Rfam family "SAM riboswitch aptamer (S box leader)". From Rfam's summary of the family: The SAM riboswitch is found upstream of a number of genes which code for proteins involved in methionine or cysteine biosynthesis in Gram-positive bacteria. The SAM riboswitch acts at the level of transcription termination control. The record is from RNAcentral. Lineage: Bacteria; Pseudomonadati; Balneolota; Balneolia; Balneolales; Balneolaceae.